AUGAUGUUUCUCAUUCCCAGGAGCCCGAGAGGCAGGGAUAGUUCCGGUCCCCAUUGCGUGGAUGACAUCAUGAUCCUCCAUAUGGGCGCCUCUGUGCCGUCCCAGAGAGCAGCAUGUCAGAACUCCGCCCCAUGGGAUGAUCGAGUUCCCAGUAGCAUAUUGACUGCACUGCUCUGGUGGUGGAGAAUGCACCAUGGCCCCUCCUGCCUCAUCCUGGGAGUGAGUCGUCAGGUAAAGAGGGGGCACUGGAUGGGAUGAUCCAUGACGAUUAUCAAGGGGGCAGAGUUUCUACUACACAACUAGGGUGAGAAUGUAUGGAUUCAGGAGAUCCCCUAAUUUUCCCUGGGUCUGUGAUCACAGUCACUCAGGCUCUCUGUCCGCAGUUAACACCCAGGCCCAGACAAGCAGGGAAGCCUAGUUCUGUCAGCCCUAAAUCCACUCCUGAUUCUCCCUGUGCAGAGAUGCCUGGAGAGCUAGGUAGGACCAGUACUUGAGGACCUAAGAUCUGGGGAUCUGGACCGGACCUGCUCACGGUCCACAGACAUCCUGGGCCUGGAGGAGAUGUAACACAGACUGGAAAGGAGUUUGUGUCUCACUUCCCCAUCUGCCUGUGUCACUGUGAGCAUCACUACUACUGUCCCACACCUGACAGUAAUAGUCAGCCUCGUCCUCGGCCCGGGCCCCGCUGAUGGUCAGGGUGGCCGUGUUCCCCGAGUUGGUGCCUGAGAAUCGGUCGGGGAUUCCUGAGGGCCGGUUGCUAUCACUAUAGAUAAUCAGCACAGGGGUUUGGCCUGACUUCUGCUGGUACCAGUGAACACUUUUGCUUUCAAUGUUGUUUCCUCCACAGGUGGUCCUGGCCGUCUGUCCCAGGCUCACCGACACUGAGGGGGGCUGAGUCAGCACAUAGGAGGCUAUGGAACCUGCAAGAGAGAAAAGGAGAGGUGGGUUUCUAGCUUCGAUUUCAUUCAGAGGACACUCCCACCUGCCUGGCUGAUCUCCAGGGAUUCUCGCCACCCCCUUUCUCAGCCCUUUGGACCCAUGGACCUGGCUGGCAGAUGGAGUUUUUAAAUAAAAGAGGCCACCAUCAUUAUUCUCUGGGUAGA
RNAcentral lists this long non-coding RNA (1103 nucleotides) under Felis catus (domestic cat). RNAcentral describes it as "lncRNA (ENSFCAG00000052180.1)". Lineage: Eukaryota; Metazoa; Chordata; Mammalia; Carnivora; Felidae. The record is from RNAcentral.